RNAcentral lists this ribosomal RNA (363 nucleotides) under Triticum aestivum (bread wheat). Its description in RNAcentral is "partial small subunit ribosomal RNA". The record is from RNAcentral. Lineage: Eukaryota; Viridiplantae; Streptophyta; Magnoliopsida; Poales; Poaceae.
UUUUUUUACCAUCAAAUCCUCACACACACUCUCUCCCUCCCUCUUCCUCACUCUCUCUCCCCCUCCCCCCCUCUCUCUAACACACACACCCACAGCUCCAAGAAUACGCGGAGGAGGUGGCCUGGGUCGUCGUCGGCGCCGUCCGGCGCGGGCCACGGGCCCGCUUCCAAGUGCGUCUGCGCGCCGGCCACCCACGCCGGGUCCUUCAAGUGCCGCUUCCAUCGCACCAACUCCCAGAGCCACGACCACGGCCAGGGCCAGGGAAGCCGCCCUUCUUCGCCCCCUUCACCGGCCGCGGCCAACGCGGUGCCGCGACACCCGGCCUCGCCGUCCUCGUCCUCCGGCACCGUCGCGACCCAGUGA